Molecule: small nuclear RNA, 18 nt
Filed under: Arabidopsis thaliana (thale cress)
Lineage: Eukaryota; Viridiplantae; Streptophyta; Magnoliopsida; Brassicales; Brassicaceae
Description: snRNA_00773
Source: RNAcentral
UGGUCUGCAGCACGCGCC